UUUUGUAAUAUGCCCACGAGAAGUGAGGAGAAGUGGAAGCAGGAUGAUGCUUCCUAAUCCCACACAGACAGUGGUUGCCUUAUAUCCUGAAACAAGAGAAUUUAGAUCCCCUUGCAGAUUUAAUUUAGUAUAAGUGCAAACAUUCAUAUUGUACAUAUUAAGGCCCAGUUCCUGACAACUCGUAUGCAUAACCAUAUUCAUGUGGGUAGACCCAUUAACCUUAACUGGCAGCAAUUACAAAUAAAAAUUAACAUAAUACAUGGAAAAAAAAAA
Dermochelys coriacea (leatherback sea turtle) is the source of this 273-nucleotide long non-coding RNA. RefSeq lists it as uncharacterized. The transcript has 2 exons. The record is from RefSeq and is a predicted model, not a curated record. Lineage: Eukaryota; Metazoa; Chordata; Testudines; Dermochelyidae.